This is a long non-coding RNA of Bufo bufo (common toad), 3287 nucleotides long. RefSeq lists it as uncharacterized. NCBI's taxonomy places the organism in Eukaryota, Metazoa, Chordata, Amphibia, Anura, Bufonidae. The transcript is spliced from 4 exons. The record is from RefSeq and is a predicted model, not a curated record.
AUAAUUUACCCCACUUUGAUUGGGACCACAUAUGCUACGUGAUCAGGAAAUGGAAAAAGUUAUGGCUCAUAGAAGGUGUAUGCAGAGGAGGAAGAAUACAGAGGUCAUCAUCUGCUCAUCAUCUGGGACCACCACCAGCAAACUCCUAAUCUGCUAGCUAUCCUCUAGUUAGUGGAUCUAAGGUUACACCUAGGUAGUGAUCAGAGGCCACUGCAAGGCAGUUUGCAUUUGGCUGCUAGGGAUCCAGGUUUCAUGGGUCAGGUGGCAGGAAACAGGUGUGGGCACACAGGUAGCAGGCCUACCAGAUGAAAAGGAGUAGCAGGACAGAAGUACAAGCCAAGAAAGUCAGUGGGAGCCAAAUCAAAAGACAAGUGGUUAAUCCAAAGACAAGCCAGAGUAAAUUCAGCAGGAUAGUCAAAUGAAAUGAAAACAUUAGAUGAUGGGUUAAACUACAGACAAGCCAAAGUAAGUUCACGAGGACAGUCAAUUAAAAUAAAAUCAAUAGACAAGGGGUUAAACUACAGACAAGCCAAAGUGAUUUCACGAGGAGUUUUAAGCAAGAGUAGAAAGCGGCACCAUUCACACAUGAAGAAACAGGAGCCAGAACACCUAUGAAUCACAGGCACUGACAAGGAGCAAAUGCCAGCUAGGAGAUUGAUGGUCAAGCCAGGAACCUGAUUGGCUCACUGUCCAGGCUCCCUGACAGAAACUUUCCUAGAACAGUGAUGCACUGUAUUGUGGAUUGGUAAAUUCCUGACCGUCCCAUUUGACUCAUCAGCUGGUCAUUUUUUCCUUAAAGCGGCUGUCCCGUUUGCUGCUUUAAGUACUUCCCCACUGGUCCCUAGGUGCCAUUUCAGAGCUGCAGGAGGGUUGUGUCUCUUCCUCACAGACAAGCGGUGCUACCUGCCUAUGUGUGCACGCUCUCAAGGUCCUGAAGUCUAUUCAUAGCUGUAUAGAACAGCUCCAAUAAGCAUGCCCUAGAGCUGUUCUAUACUAAAAACAAGAGGACAGACCAGGUGGUCAGGGUGAGAGCUACAGACAGAGGCAAUAUGAGGUGGCCAGGGAGGGGAGCUACAGACAGGCAAUACCAGGUGGUCAGAGAGGGGAGCUACAGACAGGCAAUACCAGGUGGUCAGGGAGGGGAGCUACAGACAGGCAAUAUCAGGUGGUCAGGGAGGGGAGCUACAGACAGGCAAUACCAGGUGGUCAGGGAGGGGAGCUACAGACACAGAGGCAAUACCAGGUGGUCAGGGAGGGGAGCUACAGACACAGAGGCAAUACCAGGUGGUCAGGGAGGGGAGCUACAGACAGGCAAUACCAGGUGGUCAGGGAGGGGAGCUGCAGACAGGCAAUACCAGGUGGUCAGGGAGGGGAGCUACAGACACAGAGGCAAUACCAGGUGGUCAGGGUGGGAGCUACAGCGCAUGUGUGCAAUCCCGGCCACCAGAAAAGCCAGCAUUCUUUGCAUUCAGUGUGCAAGCAUAGCCACAACUGCUGUAUUGCAGCAGUGCCCAUCACCUCAAGAGACGAGCCGUGUAUAAAAACCAGCAAAACUUAAAAAAAAAAAAAUUUGCAUUAUUGCUACAGAGAGUAUUUGGAUACAAAACAGAAAAAAAAAAAAAAAGAGAGAAAAGCCAAAACAAAGUCACAGAGGAUUGGACCGUCCCUGAAGAAAUAUGUCUGCUGCUCAGAUUAUUGGAGACGGAAACAGGGAGGGAAUUCUAAAGCAUAAAGUUCAAGAAGUAAAUAAAGAGGAGAAGAAAAUAAAGAAGAAAAGAGAAAUCUAAAUCCAAUCAAUGUUUGAUGUGACCGCCCUUUGCCUUUAGGUACACUUGCACAGUUUUUGAAGGAACUCAGCAGGGAGGUUGUCCCAAACAUCUUGGAGAACUAACAACAGAUCUUCUGUGGAUGUAGACCUUACUGGAGUAAGCAGGGACUUCAAAUAAAAAACUUUCACACUUGCACCAGACUUACUCCUGUAAGUUCUACAAUAUACUGAUGUCUGGAGGUCUCUGCCAUGAAUACAUCACACGGGCAACAUUUAGGUCAACAGAGUGACCCUCAAAUGCUAUUAUAGUGGAUGUGACUGUUCGCAACCACCAAAGUUGUGAGCAGUACCUACAACACAGCAUUUAUUUGAUUUGCUUGUCUUACUGUACUAACCUCUGCGCUGUUUUGUAGGCUGUGGAUGUAGGCUUGAUCAAAUCCUUCUGUCUCUUCAUGUAAUCUCAGGCAGACUGGAGGAUGUUGAGAUCAGGGCUCUUUGGGGGUGAUAUGAUCAAUUACAGGAUUCCUUGUUCUCCUUUACACUAAAGAUAGUUCUUAAUGACGGAUGUAUGUUUGGGGUAAUUUUACUGCUGCGAACUAAAUUUGGAGCCAAUCAGACCCUGAUGGUAUUGCAUGAUGGAUAAGUAUCUGCCUGUAUUUCUCAGCAUUGAGGACACUAUUAAUCCUGACCAUAUCUCCAACUCUGUGCUUGGACAGCAGGAAUCGCUUGGCACAGGAGCCUCUAAGCAUUGACCCUUUGUGCUUUAUAGCACCCACAUCACACUGUACAUUCCUUUAUAGCUCUUUGAUGUGGGUUCUGUGAGUGUAGCAGGAGCCACUCUCAGGUACACUGGUGAGUGGGUAGCACAUCAUUGUUUGCCCCUCAACCCUCAACCCCGGCUGAUGAGCGUUGGCCACAAUGUCCUCUACAGUAUAAACAAUUUGGUGUCAAGUCUUCCGCUAUUGGCCUUCAUAUAUACAGUAUUUUCCAGACUAUAAGAUGCACUGGCUCUUGCCCCUCCCACAUAUGACAUUAAAGGUCCUUUAGCUUUAUGUGAUCAGAGUUUUCAUCUCCCUGUACUUUAGGACCGUGUUCCUCAUCAAGAUCCUACAUCCUCCUGUCUGCCCUGAUCAUACAGAUCGGUAUCAGUCAGAGAGAGAGAAUUUGGCAGAGGCAUAGCUCUCUCAUUGAUCCAGCAGAGCGCUGUAUGAGUCCUCUGCCGGAUCACUAAGGAAGCCUUCAGUGGGUAAAUGCCUUAGCAUGUCAUGUGGUCAUCCAACCUCAUGGUGGCACAAAACUAAGAUAUAUAUAUAUAUAUAUAUAUAUAUAUAUAUAUAUAUAUAUAUAUAAUUACAAUAUGGACGUUAUUACAGGUGGAAGGACUUAUGAUGGCAAUAGCUUUAAUUUUAUUUUGAAAAGAACACAAAAUAUGUGUCAAAUUAUUCUACAGAAUUUAGUUUUUGAAAAUGUUCAAGGGCUCAUAAUGACAUUCAUAUCUUUUCCAACUGAAAUCUGCUAU